Dicentrarchus labrax (European seabass) is the source of this 166-nucleotide long non-coding RNA. RefSeq lists it as uncharacterized. Lineage: Eukaryota; Metazoa; Chordata; Actinopteri; Moronidae. The record is from RefSeq and is a predicted model, not a curated record. The transcript is spliced from 3 exons.
GGACGACCAACUUCCCUUUGAAGCUACACAGUCUAGUGUUUGAAGAACCAACGCUGUUGUUUUUCUGGUGAGGACCAUUUCAUACAGGAUGGAGUGGUCAGCAACACUGGGCAACCUGAAGGACUACAAAAGAGUUAGUAGGUUUUCCUGUGGGAUCCAUGAGGAG